AUACGGGGGGGGCUAGCGUUGUUCGGAAUUACUGGGCGUAAAGCGUACGUAGGCGGACUGAUCAGUUGGGGGUGAAAUCCCAGGGCUUAACCCUGGAACUGCCUUCAAUACUGUCAGUCUUGAGAUUGCAAGAGGUGAGUGGAAUUCCUAGUGUAGAGGUGAAAUUCAUAGAUAUUAGGAGGAACACCAGUGGCGAAGGCGGCUCACUGGUCCAAUACUGACGCUGAGGUACGAAAGCGUGGGGAGCAAACAGGAUUAGAAACCCUAGUAGUCCC
This 275-nucleotide ribosomal RNA is filed under the name uncultured bacterium. RNAcentral's name for it is "partial 16S ribosomal RNA". It matches the Rfam family "Bacterial small subunit ribosomal RNA", at positions 523 to 797 of the family's 1533-position model. The record is from RNAcentral.